Molecule: ribosomal RNA, 96 nt
Filed under: uncultured bacterium
Lineage: Bacteria
Description: partial 16S ribosomal RNA
Rfam family: Bacterial small subunit ribosomal RNA
Source: RNAcentral
UGGGGAAUAUUGCACAAUGGGNGNAAGCCUGAUCCAGCAAUACCGCGUGUGUGAAGAAGGCCUGNGGGUUGUAAAGCACUUUCAAUUGUGAAGAAA